GCCCGCUUGGCUAAGUGGUAUAGCGUGUCACUAGUAAAGAAUGUAUGAAGAAACUUGGGAAAAACAAAUUUCUCACGAUUUUCUUGCAAACUCUGUGCCAUGACAAGAUCAGCGGUUCGAUUCCGCUAGUGGGCA
This is a non-coding RNA of Xylariaceae sp. FL0594, 135 nucleotides long. The record is from the annotation of a GenBank genome assembly. Lineage: Eukaryota; Fungi; Ascomycota; Sordariomycetes; Xylariales; Xylariaceae.